GGGAGGGACGGCAGGAGCACCUCGGAACGGGUGGUGGAUCUGCUGAACCAGGCGGCGCUGAUCGGGAACGAGGGGAAAAUCACCAUCCUGAAACAGGUGCAGGAGCUGAUCAUCAACAAGGACCCCACGCUCCUGGACAACUUCCUGGAUGAAAUCAUCGCCUUCCAGGCCGACAAAUCCAUCGAGGUCCGGAAAUUCGUGGUGGGAUUCAUCGAGGAGGCCUGG
Molecule: long non-coding RNA, 225 nt
Organism: Vidua macroura (Pin-tailed whydah)
Lineage: Eukaryota; Metazoa; Chordata; Aves; Passeriformes; Viduidae
Exons: 4
Source: RefSeq, a predicted model, not a curated record